This is a regulatory RNA element of Rhizobium gallicum bv. gallicum, 97 nucleotides long. It matches the Rfam family "chrB-a RNA". The record is from Rfam. NCBI's taxonomy places the organism in Bacteria, Pseudomonadati, Pseudomonadota, Alphaproteobacteria, Hyphomicrobiales, Rhizobiaceae.
GGUCUGGGGUCGCGAUCACCCCACGAGGCGACAGCUGAAGUAUCGCGUCCGCCUGAAAAAGCCCUUUUCGCGGGCCGUCGUUUCGCCACGCGAUCUG